Molecule: transfer RNA, 76 nt
Filed under: Betaproteobacteria bacterium SG8_39
Lineage: Bacteria; Pseudomonadati; Pseudomonadota; Betaproteobacteria
Also listed under: 6 other names
Description: tRNA-Arg
Rfam family: tRNA
About the family: Transfer RNA (tRNA) molecules are approximately 80 nucleotides in length. Their secondary structure includes four short double-helical elements and three loops (D, anti-codon, and T loops).
Source: RNAcentral
GCCCCGGUAGCUCAGUGGAUAGAGCGGCCCCCUCCUAAGGGGCAGGUCGUACGUUCGAUUCGUAUCCGGGGCGCCA